This is a non-coding RNA of Manis javanica (Malayan pangolin), 4042 nucleotides long. NCBI's taxonomy places the organism in Eukaryota, Metazoa, Chordata, Mammalia, Pholidota, Manidae. The record is from RefSeq and is a predicted model, not a curated record.
UGAGGGGAGGGACCUCUAGAGGAGGGUGGGCAGGACCUGGAGCCCAGAUAAGACUUCUGGGGAACAAUAAGAGGAAUUGAAGAGGGGAGACCCACCCUCACUGUACCCCACCCCCAGGGUUUUGGGGUCAGGGACUGGGGACCCGAGGGUGAUGGGAGGAGUGCUGAGGAUCUUUGGGAAAGGAGGAGAGGAUGGGCCACAGCAGGAUCCCGGAGCUCAGAGCUUUGUCUUGUGGGACCACAGGGCACAUGAGGUGGCUGGGUGACAUUUUUGUACUUAAUUUAAUGUGCUUUUUAUUGCCUACUUUAUGAAUAGCACUUGAAUGUAAUAAAUGGUGCUUCAGAUUUUUUGGCUCCUGAGAAAUAAAAUCAUAAUUUCCUAUCAGUUCGGUAUUUUUCCCUGAGGCCCUGAACUGGGAAUGUAGGCCCAGCCCCUCCAAGUAGAGAUAGAAGCUGGUGGUUCCCUGCCAUCCCAUCCCAUACCUGUAGCUGCUUCCCAUCUCACUAGGUUGUUGGAUGACUGAGGCCAACAGAGUACCCUGCACUUUCUUGGGGCAAGGUGUACCGGACAAAAAUGUGGGUAUGCGAGGAGAGGGGAGUCGAAAUUGCGCUGAGCUUUCUUUCCAGGAAUGCGGCAGCUCCGGGCAUGACCGGUUACCUUACAGGACCCAGUUUCUAUCUCCUCCCAGAGUGCAGAUAAUGAAAAGGAACCUGGACUGAAGAGGCGGUAGUCGAAAGGCUUAGGAGUGGUACAGAGUGGGUGCUGGGUGUUGAGGAUGUGCUCUCUGGUCCCUACACUUUACACAGCCACCCCUGCAUAGGCGGCGAUCUGAGGGAUAUGGCCAAGGAUGUUUGAAGAAACAAAACGCCUGACACCCGGUUCCCAAGCCACGGCUCUUUCCGCGGUAGAGGUCCCUGAGGGAGGCCUCCAAGGCCCGAUUGGCCCCUGCUUCUUGGAGGCGGAACUCCGGACUGGUGGGCGGAGGGCUAUUUAAGACUGGGCUGUGCAGGAGGUGGCCAAGUGCAAAAAUGAGUGAACUGCUAGGUGCUAGCACCUGCCCAGGCCCAGGAGAGGCCUCACACCCUACGCCCCCGCUGUGCGCCAAGUUCAGGGAACCUCUCACCGAGGCCCGGUUCCAGCAGCUCUUCGGGGACGCAGAGCCGGAACCGGAACUAUUCUCGGGGCCCGCCUGGAGUCGGCAUUGCAGACAGUGGAGGCAGCGGGCCCGUGCGUGUUGGGGACCCGGGGCGUGGCGCCUGCUGCUUGCGCGGCUCCCCCUGCUGCGUUGGCUGCCCCACUACCGAUGGCGGGCCUGGCUGCUUGGGGAUGCGGUGGCAGGAGUGACCGUGGGCAUCGUGCACGUGCCCCAGGGCAUGGCUUUCGCCCUCCUGACCUCCGUGCCACCAGUGUUCGGACUCUACACUUCUUUCUUUCCCGUCCUCAUUUACACCUUGUUGGGUACUGGGAGACACCUGUCCACGGGAACUUUCGCGGUACUCAGCCUCAUGACUGGCUCGGCCGUGGAGCGACUGGUACCCGAACCCCUCGGGGGGAACCUGAGCGGAAUCCAGAGGGAACAGUUGGACGCUCAGCGGGUUGAGGUGGCUUCGGCCUUGGCCUUCGGAAGCGGGGCUCUGAUGCUGGGGAUGUUCGUGCUGCAGCUCGGCGUCCUGUCCAUCUUCUUGUCGGAGCCUGUGGUCAAAGCUCUGACCAGCGGGGCCGCGCUGCACGUGCUCGUGUCCCAACUGCCAAGCCUUUUGGGGUUGCCCCUCCCGCGCCAGAUCGGCUGCUUCGCUCUCUUCAAGACGCUGGCUGCUGUGCUGACGGCGCUGCCACGGAGCAGUCCGGCCGAGCUGACCAUCUCGGCACUCAGCCUGGCGCUGCUCGUGCCAAUCAAGGAAUUGAACGUGAGAUUCCGAGACAGACUACCCACCCCGAUCCCAGGGGAAAUCGUCCUGGUGCUUCUGGCCUCUGUGCUCUGCUUCACUUCUUCCUUGGACACAAGAUACAAUGUCCAGAUAGUGGGGCUGCUUCCUGGAGGAUUUCUCCAGCCCCAUCUCCCCAACCUGGCUGAGCUGCCCAGGAUUCUGGCUGACUCACUGCCCAUCGCACUGGUUACUUUUGCUGUGUCUGUCUCCCUGGCCUCCAUCUAUGCAGACAAGUAUAACUACACAAUUGAUUCCAACCAGGAGCUCUUGGCCCAUGGUGUCUCCAACCUCAUCUCCUCCCUCUUCUCUUGCUUUCCCAACUCAGCCACAUUGGCCACAACCAGCCUACUGGUGGAUGCUGGUGGGAACACACAGCUGGCAGGCCUCUUCUCCUGCAUAGUUGUUUUGUCUGUGUUGCUGUGGCUGGGGCCUUUCUUCCACUAUCUACCCAAGGUGAGGAGCAGAGGGGACAAGGUGUGGGGUGGCUGGCAGGGAUGGCUACAUGCCAGGACAUUGGGGUGGUCAGCUCGCCUCCUCUCCCCCAAGGCUGUCCUGGCCUGCAUCAACAUCUCCAGCAUGCGCCAGAUGUUCUUCCAGAUGCAGGAACUUCCACAACUAUGGCGCAUCAGCCGUGUGGACUUUGCUGUGUGGAUGGUCACGUGGGUGGCGGUAGUGAUCCUGAGUGUGGACCUCGGCCUGGCUGUAGGUGUGGUCUUCUCCAUGAUGACAGUGGUCUGCCGCACCCAGAGGGUUCAGUGCCUGGCACUUGGACUUGCUGAGGGGACUGAGCUCUACAGGCCACUCAGAGAGAGCCAUAAGCUCCUUCAGGUCCCAGGACUCUGCAUCCUGAGCUAUCCAACACCACUGUACUUUGGGACCUGUGGGCAGUUUCGCCGCACCCUCCAGCAGCAUCUGGGGCUUGGAGAAGGAGGCAAGGAGACCCCAAAGACAGAUGGCCCAUCUGAUGCAGUUGCUGAGCCUGUCAGAGUGGUGGUCCUAGACUGCAGCGGGGUCACCUUUGCAGAUGCCGCUGGGGCCAGAGAAGUGGUACAGCUGGCCAGCCUUUGCCGAGAUGCUGGGAUCCACCUUCUCCUGGCUCAGUGUAAUGGAAGAAGUUGACCACGCCGUCAGUGACUACGCAGCCUGGGAAGCCGACGAGCUCAUGGUGGAAGCCGCGCCUUUGCCGAAGGCAGUUCCCGCGGCCUGGUGCACCGGACUCCACGCUCAGCAGCUGUCGGUCCAGCGGUGUCCUCUCCAGCACGUCCACCAGCCUCUCCAGCCUCGUCCGCGCGGUGAAGAUGAAGUCGUCAUCCACCCACAGCACGUACUUGGUGGUUACUUGGGAUAUGGCCAGGUUUCGGCCUGCAAACCAACCCUGGGAGAAGGUGUAUUGAGCGCCCACUAGAUGCUAAGCACCAUUCUAAGAAUGCAGCGUGAAUAAGGCGGGUAUGAUUCCUGCUGCCACGGAGCUUACAUCCCGGGGACCCUCAACCGUGACAGGCACCAGUGAUUCUGAAGCAGGAAGUUCUGGCAUCACUACUCAAGACUGCAGACUGAAGGUGUGCCCCUCCUGGUGCCCGCUGGGGCGCCCUUCAGCCUCAGGCUGCGCACCUUGCCGAAAGGCAUGAGAUAGUGCUCAAUGUGGAGUCCGCUAAUGCUCUCUGGCUUGUCGCUGUCGUCAGCGAUGACCACGGUGACCGUCGGGUAGAAGCGGCGGAUGCUGGCAAUGAGUGCCCGUAGCCGAUUGUAACGAAGGAAGGUCUUAGUGGCGAUGGUGACCAGAGCACUGAGGUUGUACUGGGCUGGGAGUGAGGGGCAGGGUGAGGUGCAGGCAAGGAGAGUAGGGAGUGAGGAGCAGGGCGGCAUCUCCCAGGGCCGCCCUCUCCCAACUUGCUCCCCAGGAGGCCUGGACCACUUCUCUGGGAAAGACAGCCUCACCUCCCUGGGGUAGAGAUCCAGGUGAAUACAGCCGAGGGUUGGGGGGGUGUCUUAUGCGAAUGGUGAAGGCUACCUCAUGUCCCUCAGUGGAAAACCGGACUGGAAAGGAAGGACAUGAGAUGUGGCCCUUAUGGCUGGGACAACAUUGUUUUUCAGUAAAUCGUUAUUUAAGUGUC